RNAcentral lists this ribosomal RNA (481 nucleotides) under uncultured archaeon. RNAcentral describes it as "bacterial SSU rRNA". It matches the Rfam family "Archaeal small subunit ribosomal RNA", at positions 365 to 849 of the family's 1478-position model. The record is from RNAcentral.
UGACGAAGGUUAAUCCGAAGUGACUCCCGCUGAGGGGGUCUUUUGUCAGCUGUAAAUAGACAGGCGAAUAAGGGGAGGGCAAGCCUGGUGUCAGCCGCCGCGGUAAUACCAGCUCCUCGAGUGGUCGGGGCGAUUAUUGGGCCUAAAGCAUCCGUAGCCGGUUCCGUAGGUCCUCUGUUAAAUCCAACCGCUCAACGGUUGACCUGCAGAGGAUACCGCGGGACUAGGAGGCGGGAGAGGCGGACGGUACUCCGCGUGUAGGGGUAAAAUCCUUUGAUCCGCGGAAGACCACCAGUGGCGAAGGCGGUCCGCCAGAACGCGCUCGACGGUGAGGGAUGAAAGCUGGGGGAGCGAACCGGAUUAGAUACCCGGGUAGUCCCAGCCGUAAACGAUGCUAGCUAGAUGAUUCAUUCGCAAGUCGCGGAUGAAGUGUCGCAGGGAAGCCGUUAAGCUAGCCGCCUGGGGAGUACGGUCGCAAGAC